UACGUAGGGGGCAAGCGUUGUCCGGAGUUACUGGGCGUAAAGCGCACGCAGGCGGUCUCUUAAGUUUGGAGUGGACAGUUGGUGGCUUAACUGCCAAAGUGCUUCGAAAACUGAGAGACUUGAGGGCUUCAGAGGGACACGGAAUCCGGGUGGAGUGGUGAAAUGCGUAGAGAUCCGGAGGAACACCAAAGGCGAAGGCAGGUGUCCUGGGGAGUACCUGGACGCUCGAGGUGCGAAAGCCAGGGGAG
This 248-nucleotide ribosomal RNA is filed under the name uncultured bacterium. RNAcentral describes it as "partial 16S ribosomal RNA". It matches the Rfam family "Bacterial small subunit ribosomal RNA", at positions 524 to 768 of the family's 1533-position model. The record is from RNAcentral.